RNAcentral lists this ribosomal RNA (332 nucleotides) under Oecanthus nigricornis (black-horned tree cricket). Its description in RNAcentral is "partial 28S ribosomal RNA". It matches the Rfam family "Eukaryotic large subunit ribosomal RNA", at positions 691 to 925 of the family's 3401-position model. Lineage: Eukaryota; Metazoa; Arthropoda; Insecta; Orthoptera; Gryllidae. The record is from RNAcentral.
UYAAUGGGAGUUUUCGAACCCCAAAGGCGCAAUGAAAGUGAGGUCAGGGGCCGAAAAUUUAUAUUUUCGGCGCCCGAAUUUUUUUUUUUUUAUGUCUGAUGAGGGGCGAUAGCCGCGGCCUAGGGGAAUUUUAUUUCCCGCGUACGGCUCGCAACCCGUGGGKGUCGUYGCGGCCCGCCUUCGGGCGGCUCGGGCGGCGUACCGAGAGCGUACACGUUGGUACCCGAAAGAUGGUGAACUAUGCCUGGCCAGGACGAAGCCAGGGGAAACCCUGGUGGAGGUCCGUAGCGAUUCUGACGUGCAAAUCGAUCGUCUGAGCUGGGUAUAGGACG